This 62-nucleotide transfer RNA is filed under the name Mus musculus (house mouse). It matches the Rfam family "tRNA", at positions 6 to 65 of the family's 71-position model. Rfam says of the family: Transfer RNA (tRNA) molecules are approximately 80 nucleotides in length. Their secondary structure includes four short double-helical elements and three loops (D, anti-codon, and T loops). Further hydrogen bonds mediate the characteristic L-shaped molecular structure. tRNAs have two regions of fundamental functional importance: the anti-codon, which is responsible for specific mRNA codon recognition, and the 3' end, to which the tRNAs corresponding amino acid is attached (by aminoacyl-tRNA synthetases). tRNAs cope with the degeneracy of the genetic code in two manners: having more than one tRNA (with a specific anti-codon) for a particular amino acid; and 'wobble' base-pairing, i.e. permitting non-standard base-pairing at the 3rd anti-codon position. The record is from Rfam by way of RNAcentral. RNAcentral also lists the same sequence under 1 other name. Lineage: Eukaryota; Metazoa; Chordata; Mammalia; Rodentia; Muridae.
UGUAGCUCAGUGGUAGAGCACAUGCUUUUUAGGUAUAAAAGCCCUGGGUUCAGUACCCAGCA